This 253-nucleotide ribosomal RNA is filed under the name uncultured bacterium. Its description in RNAcentral is "partial 16S ribosomal RNA". It matches the Rfam family "Bacterial small subunit ribosomal RNA", at positions 524 to 776 of the family's 1533-position model. The record is from RNAcentral.
UACGUAGGGUGCGAGCGUUAAUCGGAAUUACUGGGCGUAAAGCGUGCGUAGGCGGUUCUCCAAGUCCGUUGUGAAAGCCCCGGGCUCAACCUGGGAAUGGCAGUGGAAACUAGGGGACUGGAAUCUGGCAGAGGGGGGUGGAAUGCCGCGUGUAGCAGUGAAAUGCGUAGAGAUGCGGCGGAACACCAAUGGCGAAGGCAGCCCCCUGGGCUGAGAUUGACGCUCAGGCACGAAAGCGUGGGGAGCAAACAGG